This 254-nucleotide ribosomal RNA is filed under the name uncultured bacterium. Its description in RNAcentral is "partial 16S ribosomal RNA". It matches the Rfam family "Bacterial small subunit ribosomal RNA", at positions 524 to 776 of the family's 1533-position model. The record is from RNAcentral.
UACGUAGGCAGCGAGCGUUGUUCGGAGUUACUGGGCGUAAAGGGUAUGUAGGCGGUUGUUUAAGUUUGGUGUGAAAUCUCCCGGCUCAACUGGGAGGGUGCGCCGAAUACUGAAUGACUAGAGUGCGGGAGAGGUGAGUGGAAUUCCUGGUGUAGCGGUGAAAUGCGUAGAUAUCAGGAGGAACACCGGUGGCGAAGGCGGCAUCCUGGACCGGGCAUUGACGCUGAGGCGCGAAAGCCAGGGGAGCAAACGGG